This 497-nucleotide ribosomal RNA is filed under the name uncultured bacterium. RNAcentral's name for it is "partial 16S ribosomal RNA". It matches the Rfam family "Bacterial small subunit ribosomal RNA", at positions 28 to 507 of the family's 1533-position model. The record is from RNAcentral.
GAUGAACGCUGGCGGCGUGCCUAAUACAUGCAAGUCGAGCGAACGGACGAGAAGCUUGCUUCUCUGAUGUUAGCGGCGGACGGGUGAGCAACACGUGGAUAACCUACCUAUAAGACUGGGAUAACUUCGGGAAACCGUAGCUAAUACCGGAUAAUAUUUUGAACCGCAUGGUUCAAAAGUGAAAGACGGUCUUGCUGUCACUUAUAGAUGGAUCCGCGCUGCAUUAGCUAGUUGGUAAGGUAACGGCUUACCAAGGCAACGAUGCAUAGCCGACCUGAGAGGGUGAUCGGCGACACUGGAACUGAGACACGGUCCAGACUCCUACGGGAGGCAGCAGUAGGGAAUCUUCCGCAAUGGGCGAAAGCCUGACGGAGCAACGCCGCGUGAGUGAUGAAGGUCUUCGGAUCGUAAAACUCUGUUAUUAGGGAAGAACAUAUGUGUAAGUAACUGUGCACAUCUUGACGGUACCUAAUCAGAAAGCCACGGCUAACUACGUG